UGCGCAGGCGGGCUUGUAAGUCAGUGGUGAAGUACUGCCGCUUAACGGUAGAACUGCCAUUGAUACUGCAAGUCUUGAAUAUGGUUGAGGUAGGCGGAAUGUGUUGUGUAGCGGUGAAAUGCAUAGAUAUGACACAGAACGCCGAUUGCGAAGGCAGCUUACUAAGCCAUUAUUGACGCUGAGGCACGAAAGCGUAGGUAGCGAACAGGAUUAGAUACCCUGGUAGUCC
This 229-nucleotide ribosomal RNA is filed under the name uncultured bacterium. RNAcentral's name for it is "partial 16S ribosomal RNA". It matches the Rfam family "Bacterial small subunit ribosomal RNA", at positions 568 to 796 of the family's 1533-position model. The record is from RNAcentral.